AGCAUGUGGUUUAAUCGAAGCAACCGCGAAGAACCUUACCAGGUCUUGACAUCCCGAUGCUAUUUCUAGAGAUAGAAAGUUACUUCGGUACAUCGGUGACAGGUGGUGCAUGGUUGUCGUCAGCUCGUGUCGUGAGAUGUUGGGUUAAGUCCCGCAACGAGCGCAACCCCUAUUGUUAGUUGCCAUCAUUUAGUUGGGCACUCUAGCGAGACUGCCGGUAAUAAACUGGAGGAAGGUGGGGAUGACGUCAAAUCAUCAUGCCCCUUAUGACCUGGGCUACACACGUGCUACAAUGGCCGGUACAAAGAGUUGCGAAACUGUGAAGUUAAGCUAAUCUCAUAAAGCCGGUCUCAGUUCGGAUUGUAGUCUGCAACUCGACUACAUGAAGUCGGAAUCGCUAGUAAUCGCGAAUCAGAAUGUCGCGGUGAAUACGUUCUCGAGUCUU
This 445-nucleotide ribosomal RNA is filed under the name uncultured Streptococcus sp. Its description in RNAcentral is "bacterial SSU rRNA". It matches the Rfam family "Bacterial small subunit ribosomal RNA", at positions 936 to 1382 of the family's 1533-position model. The record is from RNAcentral. Lineage: Bacteria; Bacillati; Bacillota; Bacilli; Lactobacillales; Streptococcaceae.